GACAGAGGGUGCAAACGUUGUUCGGAUUUACUGGGCGUAAAGCGCGUGUAGGCGGCUUUGCAAGUCGGAUGUGAAAGCCCACGGCUCAACCGUGGAAGUGCAUCCGAAACUGCAUGGCUUGAGUCUCGGAGAGGAAGGUGGAAUGCUUGGGUGUAGAGGUGAAAUUCGUAGAUAUUGGGAAGAACACCGGUGGCGAAGGCGGCGAGCUGGUCCAUUACUGACGCUGAGGCGCGACAGCGUGGGGAGCAACAGG
This 253-nucleotide ribosomal RNA is filed under the name uncultured bacterium. RNAcentral describes it as "partial 16S ribosomal RNA". It matches the Rfam family "Bacterial small subunit ribosomal RNA", at positions 524 to 775 of the family's 1533-position model. The record is from RNAcentral.